UUUUGAUUGCAAAUCCAAUAGCCAUGUCUAUGGAGCAGGGUCUGCCGAACGAUGACAGAGCCUUGUGUGUGCAUCUCAUUCGGAUGACAGAUAAUAAUGGUGUUUUCCCGCUCAUAAAUAAGCUUCAUGUCUUUAGAACAGUGCAUGGAAGUUCACAGUCAUCUAAAUGAGACUAAUUACAUUUUAGCUAGGUCCAUUAUAAUCACAAGAUCUAAUUUAUCUGGAAAUUCAUCAAGUCUUUCCGUGUUGUUGCUCUGGUUUGUGGGUUAAUAAUCCCAAGAACAGUGCAGGCGUGGAAUAGCAAGCGGCCAGCUGCCCAGUGAGGCCCUCAUUACCGCUGGUAUCAUAACUUCCGACACAAUCUGAACAAUAAAGCAGCGGGAAGGUGCUGUCUAUCGAAUGACAUCAUGGCCCAUGGGAGCAGCCUGGGAAGGUGGAGGGACACCUCACGGGCGCAAGGGACCCAAAGCUCCCCUCGCUCGGCGGAACGGCUGCGGAUCCGGCUGCCGUGUUCAGCUCAGCCAAGGAAUGACUUUGGCAGAAUGCCCUGCUUGGAGAAACGGUGAGGAAGCCAGUGAGGCCCCCGGCUCCCCCGUUCCUUCUGCCGAUUAACCUACGGCUGCCUCCCGUGGAGGCGGGAAGAUGGCAGACGGGGUGGAAAGCAGGCGACAGCACAGAGGA
Long non-coding RNA from Brienomyrus brachyistius, 681 nucleotides. RefSeq lists it as uncharacterized. The transcript has 3 exons. The record is from RefSeq and is a predicted model, not a curated record. NCBI's taxonomy places the organism in Eukaryota, Metazoa, Chordata, Actinopteri, Osteoglossiformes, Mormyridae.